Molecule: long non-coding RNA, 1217 nt
Filed under: Sus scrofa (pig)
Lineage: Eukaryota; Metazoa; Chordata; Mammalia; Artiodactyla; Suidae
Description: lncRNA (ENSSSCG00015002216.1)
Source: RNAcentral
UUCAUACUAAAAUUUAGUCCCAUUAUAAGUAGAUUAGAGAGCUCUGGCCCAAAUAGUUUAAUAGCUUUGCCCAAGGUGUCAGGGACUUGGGUACAAACCCAAACACACAAACAUAAUUCAGGAGAGUCAAGUUCUAGCCACAAGUGGGAGCUAUUAGAUUAUUUAGACAUGCUAAGGCAUGCUAGUUUGGUUUUUUUCCCCUAAACUAAGAGAGAAUACUAAUCACAUUGUGAGAAAAGUAGAAUUUCUGUACUUCAGUGCCCUCUCUAAUGAAAAUAUUUUGACUUUUUAUAGAUAAUACUUCAAUGCAUUCUCAUCAAACACAACCAUCAUAAAGAAAAAACCUUUAAUAGAAAUUGAACAAAAACAGAAAAAUUAGCUCAUAUUCCAUAAUCUGUAAAAGUUCUACCUUAAAUUGAAGAUAUAAACUUAUGUAUAAAAGUGUGUAAUUUCCGCAUCAUUGCAGCUAUUUUUAGCCUCUUCUUGCAAUCCAUUUCUUAUCUCCAUUGUGUCCAGUUUGUGAAAAUGAGGAGUGCAGAAGGAAAAAGAAAGUGGCAGAGAGUCUUUAUAAAGAAUCUGAGGGAUCCAAAUUUGAGGGAUGGAGGACUACUUGCUCCCCUUCUUGAUGAAAUUAACUUUAUAAAGAAAAUACUGGAGAAAUAAGCAAAAAAAAGAAAGAGUGAUUAUCUUUGGGUAUUUGAAAAUGAGUAAAAAUUUCUGUUUGGUUUUUUUUUUUCUUGAGUAUGUAUUUAUUUUAAUUGAAAAGCUUUAUUUUUAAAAGUAAACAUCAAAUUUCAAAAUAUUGCAAAAAUUCCUAGCAAAGUCCAUAAAAGAUGGUAAAUUUCCAUGACUAUUCCCUUCUGGAUUCUUCCCUAGCAGUGUCAAUAAGUACAUCGCUUAUAGGGUAAGAUUGAAGGCUGUGGUUUACUGAGCAGAAUCCUGCCUCAACUUCGUAGUAUGAAUCUUUGCUGGUGACACCAACCAUUACUUGACUUCAUUCAAUGUCUCAAGAUUAAUUAAAUUGUGAUCAACUGUGUAAGAUUCAUAUGGUGAAUUGCACAUAAUUCUGAGAGCAUUCCUGUGAAACUGUGCUUUACUACAGAAAAAUUAUUCAGAGCAACAAUAAUUUCAGUUAUGUAAUUACAUAUUAAUUGAAUAAUAAUAGUGAAAUAAUAAUAAUAUCUAAUAUAGAUUCUAAUACUGGUUUGAUUAGCUAU